RNAcentral lists this ribosomal RNA (1089 nucleotides) under Staphylococcus aureus. RNAcentral's name for it is "partial 23S ribosomal RNA". It matches the Rfam family "Bacterial large subunit ribosomal RNA", at positions 1324 to 2408 of the family's 2925-position model. Lineage: Bacteria; Bacillati; Bacillota; Bacilli; Caryophanales; Staphylococcaceae. The record is from RNAcentral.
AGAAUCCCGUCCACCGAUUGACUAAGGUUUCCAGAGGAAGGCUCGUCCGCUCUGGGUUAGUCGGGUCCUAAGCUGAGGCCGACAGGCGUAGGCGAUGGAUAACAGGUUGAUAUUCCUGUACCACCUAUAAUCGUUUUAAUCGAUGGGGGGACGCAGUAGGAUAGGCGAAGCGUGCGAUUGGAUUGCACGUCUAAGCAGUAAGGCUGAGUAUUAGGCAAAUCCGGUACUCGUUAAGGCUGAGCUGUGAUGGGGAGAAGACAUUGUGUUUUCGAGUCGUUGAUUUCACACUGCCGAGAAAAGCCUCUAGAUAGAAAAUAGGUGCCCGUACCGCAAACCGACACAGGUAGUCAAGAUGAGAAUUCUAAGGUGAGCGAGCGAACUCUCGUUAAGGAACUCGGCAAAAUGACCCCGUAACUUCGGGAGAAGGGGUGCUCUUUAGGGUUAACGCCCAGAAGAGCCGCAGUGAAUAGGCCCAAGCGACUGUUUAUCAAAAACACAGGUCUCUGCUAAACCGUAAGGUGAUGUAUAGGGGCUGACGCCUGCCCGGUGCUGGAAGGUUAAGAGGAGUGGUUAGCUUCUGCGAAGCUACGAAUCGAAGCCCCAGUAAACGGCGGCCGUAACUAUAACGGUCCUAAGGUAGCGAAAUUCCUUGUCGGGUAAGUUCCGACCCGCACGAAAGGCGUAACGAUUUGGGCACUGUCUCAACGAGAGACUCGGUGAAAUCAUAGUACCUGUGAAGAUGCAGGUUACCCGCGACAGGACGGAAAGACCCCGUGGAGCUUUACUGUAGCCUGAUAUUGAAAUUCGGCACAGCUUGUACAGGAUAGGUAGGAGCCUUUGAAACGUGAGCGCUAGCUUACGUGGAGGCGCUGGUGGGAUACUACCCUAGCUGUGUUGGCUUUCUAACCCGCACCACUUAUCGUGGUGGGAGACAGUGUCAGGCGGGCAGUUUGACUGGGGCGGUCGCCUCCUAAAAGGUAACGGAGGCGCUCAAAGGUUCCCUCAGAAUGGUUGGAAAUCAUUCAUAGAGUGUAAAGGCAUAAGGGAGCUUGACUGCGAGACCUACAAGUCGAGCAGGGUCGAAAGACG